This 406-nucleotide ribosomal RNA is filed under the name uncultured fungus. RNAcentral describes it as "partial small subunit ribosomal RNA". It matches the Rfam family "Eukaryotic small subunit ribosomal RNA", at positions 30 to 432 of the family's 1831-position model. Lineage: Eukaryota; Fungi. The record is from RNAcentral.
GCUUGUCUCAAAGAUUAAGCCAUGCAUGUCUAAGUAUAAACGACUUUAUACUGUGAAACUGCGAAUGGCUCAUUAUAUCAGUUAUAGUUCAUUUGAUGGUCCUUUUUAUUUGCUACUUGGAUAACCGUAGUAAUUCUAGAGCUAAUACAUGCAUCAAACCCCGACUGUUACCGGAAGGGGUGUAUUUAUUAGAUUGAAAGCCAAAAUUAAAAAACUGGUGAUUCAUGAUAACUUUCGGAUCGACAGGUCUAAACAACUUGUCGAUGCAUCAUUCAAGUUUCUGCCCUAUCAGCUUUGGAUGGUAGGGUAUCGGCCUACCAUGGCUUUAACGGGUAACGGAGAAUUAGGGUUCGAUUCCGGAGAGGGAGCCUGAGAAAUGGCUACCACAUCCAAGGAAGGCAGCAGG